Molecule: unclassified non-coding RNA, 2582 nt
Filed under: Leguminivora glycinivorella
Lineage: Eukaryota; Metazoa; Arthropoda; Insecta; Lepidoptera; Tortricidae
Description: f-box/LRR-repeat protein 4, transcript variant X1
Source: RNAcentral
GGCUCGAACGGACGUUCUUGAUUCUUCUUCGUCCAUACUAGAACUGUCGUAGUCGUAGGUACUUUUCCGUCACAACAAAUACAAAAAACGUAAACAAACAAGUUUAAGUUAAAAUGCAGAGUGCUUCGGAUGUGAUAUCGUCAUUAUUUUGGUUUAAAGGCGAGGAUGAAGAUGAAGAAAAAUACCCUGAUAUUAUAGAACAAUUUGUGCAAUAUGUUGAAGACUUUAGUUCUCAAUACGGAAGUGAAAUCAGUGUAUCGUAUACCGCUUUCAAUCUUCGCGGUCCACCGUCGAACUUUCCUGAUUAUGGGGACUAUCCGCAAGCGUUUGUGAUGAGAACUUACGGCACAUGGUGGGAAGAAGCUCCCUCCGCUCAGGAAGACUACAUGCCGCAAAACAAUCGGAGCAUUCCGAGCCAGGACUUUGUUGAAGUAUCGUUUGAGAAGGCGGUCUACCCUGUUGAGGUGUCUGUGUUCGAGACAUACAAUCCCGGCGCUCUUGUCCGUAUCUGGGCCCAGGGUCCGUCGAUGUGGCUGUUACUUUGGGAAGGCGAGCCAGAGUAUGCGGGGGACAGACCGAGGAUUUUCAGCCCUCCGAUUAGACAAAUUGAUGUGUUGACCAGGGUCCUAAGACUGGAGUUCAACCACAAACUGCUCCCGUAUUACACGGAACUAGACGCCGUGUUGUUAAAAGGAAGGGAGCCUUGCAAGUUCCAAGUGAAGAACAAACUGAUGUGUCCAUCUCUGCUGAAGAUCAAUGGACCGGUUAUGGAGAAAGGUCAGCUGUUACAUAAAAUCAUGGCGUCGAACUUGCACGAGUCCGUCUUACCCCCCGCGGCGAUACGGGGGAAGAUGCAGAUCGACACGGGGCCACCGCCGGGGGACUUCGAACGGUUACCGGACGAGGCAAUCCUCUGCGUGAUGAAGUACCUGGACAUGCAAUCGCUGUGCCGCUGCGCGCAAGUCAACAGACAUUUCAACAGACUCGCAUCUGACGCCAUACUAUAUCGCAGCAUUGACCUUAGGCCGUAUUGGCAUUGCGUGCAAUCUCAAGUACUGGUAACUCUUUCAAUGCGGUGCAAAUUCCUUCAGAAACUGGACUUAUCGUGGUGCGGAAGUCAUCUCAUGAUACUACCCAACUACGUCGUAAAUUUCAUCAAAGACAAUGGGGCCGAGUUGACACACUUAAGGAUGAAUUGCUGUAAAUUCGUUAACAACGCCGUGCUAAGAGCCAUCGUUGACACCUCCUUCUAUCUACAAGAACUAUGCCUCCGAUCUGUAGUCGGUUGCUCAGACUGGCAAUGCCUCGCAUCGCUCACUAAACUCAAAAGACUGGAUCUAUACAGGACAGAUAUAACGACCAUCGCCGCUGUAGCUAUAGUAGUGUCCAACCCUGAACUACAACACAUCAAUGUUGGUUCGUGCAAGAUGAUAUCAGCGAUGGACGAAGUGGCUAUUGCGCUCGGCGUGAACUGCCCCGACUUGAUAUCAGCAGACUUCUGGAAGUCCUACUCGCUGACUCCCACCGGCAUCAGGGCGCUCGGGAAUUGCAGGCGGCUGCAGGAGCUGGACGUUGGAUGGUGUCUCCAAGCAGGCGGUUCAGGCGAAUGGCUAGCCUGGCUCAACGGCGGUGAACUACGCAAACUCUUCCUCGGCGCUUUACGUGGCGUGUGUGACCGGGACCUAAGGAACUUGCUACCAAGAGUACCUAAGCUUACUCAGUUGGACUUACUGGGUGUGAGGGCAGUUACUCCUGAUAUUUGUGACGCAAUCUUAGCGGAAUGCCACGAACUGAAGUUGCUGGAUGUCAGUUUCUGCGAUCAAAUACAAGAGUCUCAGGUAUUGGAAUGGCGCGAGCGCUACCCGCACGUCAGCAUAAAGCGGUCCUUCCAGUCCGCAACAUUGACCGCGACGCCAAACCCGCUCUUCCUAGCCCCGAGCCUGGAAUGAUGGUGCACCGUGUGCCCCAUGGUCGUUAUUAUGAAGAAGAUGGCCGAAAUCUACUCGUUUAUAUGAAACGAACAAGCCGACAAUGAUGACAGCUAUGGCUGCUAAGCAGCAAACAUGAAAACUUGAUGACAAACCUUUUUUAUACGAAUAACAUGUUAUUUCUGCUCUAGUGAAGUAAUAUACUCUGUCCAGCCGGCGUAUCAUGCUUCCAAUUUGAUGACUUAUCGAUGUGGGUAAAGUAUCCGUCACGCUUUGGCAAGUAUGUUGUCAGUGUGAGAGUGACAGAUGUCACUCUCACACUGACAUAAUACGCCGGCUGUUGUGAAUAGUCCAGAAUCAUCGCAAAACCUUUUCUUGUUAAUUUUCGUAAGUUGAAAUAAACCAUAAAUUGACAUAAAUUAGACAAAACUUGACUUAAUUGACGAUUUUUUAAGUGAUAAACUGAUUAAGGUCCUCGUUUUUUUAGUUUAUAAAUAAUUAUAUUUUAUCUAGAGCAGGUGGAAUGGCUAGUGACCUAGCGGUAAGAGCGCGUGACUUUCAAUCCGGAGGUCGCGGGUUCGAACCCCGGCUCGUACCAAUGAGUUUUUGGGAACUUGUGUGCGAAAUGUCAUUUGAUAUUUGCCAGUCGCUUUU